GCCCCCGUAGCUCAGGUGGAUAGAGCGACGGUUUCCUAAACCGCAGGUCGGCCGUUCGAAUCGGCCCGGGGGCA
Molecule: transfer RNA, 74 nt
Filed under: Gemmatimonadota bacterium
Lineage: Bacteria; Pseudomonadati; Gemmatimonadota
Description: Gemmatimonadetes bacterium (groundwater metagenome) tRNA-Arg
Rfam family: tRNA
About the family: Transfer RNA (tRNA) molecules are approximately 80 nucleotides in length.
Source: RNAcentral